GGUGUUCAAUCCGGAUAUCGGUUCGGUUUAGGUUCGGUUUUUUUCGGUUUUCGGUAUUUCGGUUAGUAAAAUAUAACUACCAUUCUAAAUCCAUAUUUACUUCGGUUCGGUUCGGUUUAUAUACCGUCGGUUUUUGGUUUAUUCGGUUUUAUACCAAAAAACAUAAUUAUUUAGUUUGAGAUCAUAUAAAAUGAAUUUUAGAGUCAUAUUGUCAAUACAUUCAUUUAUUAAAA
This 233-nucleotide long non-coding RNA is filed under the name Brassica napus (rape). Its description in RNAcentral is "long non-coding RNA (BNAP_LNC023642)". The record is from RNAcentral. Lineage: Eukaryota; Viridiplantae; Streptophyta; Magnoliopsida; Brassicales; Brassicaceae.